GCAAGAGGAAAGGAGACAUUUGCUAAAAAAGAAUGAACUCCUCGAUCGGGUGGAUCAAUGUGUUUAGUAAAAGCCCACAGGGACAAAGACAGAAGAGAGUGAGUGAGAGUAAAGGAAAGCGAGAGAAACAAAGAGGGAGAGCAGAAGAUCCAUUGAGUGUGUUUUUUGUGGCUGAAGAAUCGUCCCCAGUGGCUUUGAAAAGAGGGAUAAUCCUGUCAAGUAAGCAGACCUUUGGAUAUUCAUGACUGGCCGAGCGGCUCCGCGCACUGAAGGAGGACACAGUGAGGAUGGGAUUAAACAUCAAAGUGAAUCUGAGGAGUGCAGGACUGGGACAUGAAUCAACCAAUGCAGAAACACAGAGGUCUCAGAGGGGUGUGCUUGGGGCCAGUUGGGACCAGUUGUUUGAUGGGUGGACAUCACAUUGAUGAGGCCCUCCUCUAUGCCUUUCAAGAGAGUGAUACGGUGUGGUGUGUUCACCUGUCCCCCAAUCUGAGAAACAUAUACACACAUUAGCAUUGAAUUUGGAAACUAAAUAAAUUCUAAUUACUGUCAUCACAGCAACAGUUUGUUGCUGAGGAGGAAAGUUGUGGUGUCAAAAAUGAUUGAGUGAUUAAACACCCCUGUGUUUUGUG
Long non-coding RNA from Micropterus salmoides (largemouth bass), 632 nucleotides. RefSeq lists it as uncharacterized. The record is from RefSeq and is a predicted model, not a curated record. The transcript is spliced from 2 exons. NCBI's taxonomy places the organism in Eukaryota, Metazoa, Chordata, Actinopteri, Centrarchiformes, Centrarchidae.